GACGAACGCUGGCGGCGUGCCUAAUACAUGCAAGUAGAACGCUGAAGGAGGAGCUUGCUCUUCUGGAUGAGUUGCGAACGGGUGAGUAACGCGUAGGUAACCUGCCUGGUAGCGGGGGAUAACUAUUGGAAACGAUAGCUAAUACCGCAUAACAGUAGAUGUUGCAUGACAUUUGCUUAAAAGGUGCAAUUGCACCACUACCAGAUGGACCUGCGUUGUAUUAGCUAGUUGGUGGGGUAACGGCUCACCAAGGCGACGAUACAUAGCCGACCUGAGAGGGUGAUCGGCCACACUGGGACUGAGACACGGCCCAGACUCCUACGGGAGGCAGCAGUAGGGAAUCUUCGGCAAUGGACGGAAGUCUGACCGAGCAACGCCGCGUGAGUGAAGAAGGUUUUCGAAUCGUAAAGCUCUGUUGUAAGAGAAGAACGAGUGUGAGAGUGGAAAGUUCACACUGUGACGGUAUCUUACCAGAAAGGGACGGCUAACUACGUG
Molecule: ribosomal RNA, 495 nt
Filed under: uncultured bacterium
Lineage: Bacteria
Description: partial 16S ribosomal RNA
Rfam family: Bacterial small subunit ribosomal RNA
Source: RNAcentral